This 781-nucleotide ribosomal RNA is filed under the name Salmonella enterica subsp. enterica serovar Heidelberg. Its description in RNAcentral is "partial 23S ribosomal RNA". It matches the Rfam family "Bacterial large subunit ribosomal RNA", at positions 1 to 1269 of the family's 2925-position model. Lineage: Bacteria; Pseudomonadati; Pseudomonadota; Gammaproteobacteria; Enterobacterales; Enterobacteriaceae. The record is from RNAcentral.
AAGCCAGUGGUGAACUCCACAUACGCAUCCUUUGCUGAGGAUACGGUUAACGGAGCGAAAGCGACGUUCAACCGCAAAAGAAGCAGAGGGGGCUUAGUGGUGGGGUGACUGCGUACCUUUUGUAUAAUGGGUCAGCGACUUAUAUUCUGUAGCAAGGUUAACCGUAUAGGGGAGCCGGAGGGAAACCGAGUCUUAACCGGGCGUUAAGUUGCAGGGUAUAGACCCGAAACCCGGUGAUCUAGCCAUGGGCAGGUUGAAGGUUGGGUAACACUAACUGGAGGACCGAACCGACUAAUGUUGAAAAAUUAGCGGAUGACCUGUGGCUGGGGGUGAAAGGCCAAUCAAACCGGGAGAUAGCUGGUUCUCCCCGAAAGCUAUUUAGGUAGCGCCUCGUGAACUCAUCUCCGGGGGUAGAGCACUGUUUCGGCUAGGGGGCCAUCCCGGCUUACCAACCCGAUGCAAACUGCGAAUACCGGAGAAUGUUAUCACGGGAGACACACGGCGGGUGCUAACGUCCGUCGUGAAGAGGGAAACAACCCAGACCGCCAGCUAAGGUCCCAAAGUCAUGGUUAAGUGGGAAACGAUGUGGGAAGGCCCAGACAGCCAGGAUGUUGGCUUAGAAGCAGCCAUCAUUUAAAGAAAGCGUAAUAGCUCACUGGUCGAGUCGGCCUGCGCGGAAGAUGUAACGGGGCUAAACCAUGCACCGAAGCUGCGGCAGCGACGCUGAUGCGUUGUUGGGUAGGGGAGCGUUCUGUAAGCCUGUGAAGGUGUGUCGUGAGGC